UACGGAGGGGGCUAGCGUUGUUCGGAAUUACUGGGCGUAAAGCGCACGUAGGCGGACAGGAAAGUUGGGGGUGAAAUCCCGGGGCUCAACCCCGGAACUGCCUUCAAAACUAUCUGUCUGGAGUUCGAGAGAGGUGAGUGGAAUUCCGAGUGUAGAGGUGAAAUUCGUAGAUAUAGGAAGGAACACCAGUGGCGAAGGCGGCUCACUGGCUCGAUACUGACGCUGAGGUACGAAAGUGUGGGGAGCAAACAGG
This 253-nucleotide unclassified non-coding RNA is filed under the name uncultured Paracoccaceae bacterium. RNAcentral describes it as "uncultured Rhodobacteraceae bacterium contains 16S-23S intergenic spacer region". It matches the Rfam family "Bacterial small subunit ribosomal RNA", at positions 524 to 776 of the family's 1533-position model. Lineage: Bacteria; Pseudomonadati; Pseudomonadota; Alphaproteobacteria; Rhodobacterales; Paracoccaceae. The record is from RNAcentral.